GGAAGCGGCAGAAAUAGCAGCCACCGCGGCCCGCGCCGCCCGGCCCCUCCCCCCAGCCCGUUGCCACGGAGACCGGGCCAGAGCGAGGCUGCGCGGGCGGCCGCGGCCGCCUGCGCCCCAACCCGCGCAUGCGCAGCGGGGCCUGGCCCACGAGGGCGUCGCGGGUGUGUCCCGUCGCCGCGCCGGGGCCACCUGGACCCCCAGACCUGCCCCUGCCGCCCGCUUAGGUGGUGGUUCGGGGGCCGGGGGAAGGAAAAGCCAAAUCGUUCCUUGUUUGCCUUUGGAAAGCCGCCCUGCCAUUGUUCCGGGCGGAUUCCUUGGUUUCCAGGCGCUGUAGGCCAGGAGAGGAGGGGGCAGGAACCCCGGCCCAGCGGUCCCAGACGUUUUCGAAGCGACAGACCCUGGGCCCAGCGCGGGGACGCGGAGGGGACACGGGCUAGCAGCCCUGCCCUCCGGAGCUCAGGCCCAGUCCGGGCUUCCCAGGCCCCGGGGCUGCCCUCCCGGAGCCCGACCUCCCCUGGGGGUGGGGGUGCUGCCCCGGGGCCCCCUUCCUGGGUUUCCUGGUCCUUUUGUUCACGUAUCCCCCUCCCCGGAUUGAACCAGCAAAGAGCACAAAGCAGAAAAUACAUCCUUGCCGCCCGCAGGCUCCCUCAUCCCGCAGAAAACUCUGAAACAGUCCACACCCGUCCCAAAGUUGAGAGAAACCUGGACGUUUCAUAAACAAAACCCGCCCUCCAGCAGCGUGUUUAUGUGGAGGCGGCCUCGCGUGUCUGAGGCUGGGAUGUGAGAAAGGAACCCCGCCCUGCAGGGGAAACUUGUCUGGUGUCCAGAAGACUUAGGAUCCACGGUGGAGGUCUGGGUGCCAUAUUGCCGUCUCUCCUUGAAGGAGAAGAUGAACACAUAGGGAGAAGGCGCCUGGGAGCUGUCGCUACAGUCUAGAGAAGCCCCACCUUGGCCCAGCAGUAGCCUGUGCUGAGAACCGGGAUUCCAGGACCAGACAGUCCUGGCGGUGGAUCCCGGCUCUGCCGAAGCCACAGCUUGUGUAUCUGGACAACAGGGAUAGCGCAGUGCCCGUGUCACAGGUGGUGAUGGCUCCUGGAGGUGGUGCACACAAGCUCGUGGCAUGGCAUCUGGUGCACAGUAGGUGCUAGAACAUAGAAGCUGUCAUUGGAGCUGGUGUGACCCAGGAUGGCCACCUUGGGUCUCUGACACUCUGGGGCUGGCUGUGUCCCAAGGCAGGUUCAUCUUUGGUCCAGCCUCCAGGAAAGGAGCACUGGACUGGGGUCAGGAGAAGCCGAGGCCAGGGGUUCUGCCACCAACCCAUUGUGUAAUCCGAGGCAAGUCCCUGAGCUGCUUUGAGCCUCAGUCUUCCCAUCUGGCAAAUGGGGAUAAUAAUCACAACCACCAUUGAUUGUGAACUUACUCAGUGCCAGGUACUCCACCGAGGUCUGUACAUUUCCUUAUCUAAUUCUGCCCUCAAAACAACCAAGUGAGGUAAAGACCACGAUGAUCCCACUUUCACAGAUGAAGGGGCAGAGCCUCAGAGAGGUGAAGUCACUUGCUGGGGACACAGCUGGAAGAUGGUGCAGUCGCUGUCACACACCCCUGAGAGCGAGUGUCCAGCUGCUGCUCCUGUCUCUGUUGUUCCCCUGCCCUUCCUGCUCACCCCCUGUACUUUUCGGUGGCUCCGGCCACAGCCCUCCCUUUGUAUUUGAACCCUUGGAUCCAGCCAUUCUGGAAUCUUCUGAGUCUGGUGCAGAUCCAGCCCCCUCAGUGGGAGACAUCCUCAGGGGUAGAUGGUGGCUUGAAGAAAGCCAGGUGGGCCCCACAUGGUCCCCACAGUCAACCCGGCGGCUCACAGCUGAUCGGCCAUCCACCGUGUCUCCCCCUGCCAUUUACACCGAAGGGUUGGGGUUCCUAACACACCCGGGUGGACGCGUGGCCUCCAGAUGGUGCAGUUAAUCCCGCUGGAAGCCGUAAAUCAGCGAGAUUGUCCCAGCUUCCCCUCCCCUCCUCCGUGCUGUCACCUCCAGAAGCUGGUGGGAGAAGCACCCCUCCAGCCCCGCCCUCCCGCCCCGGCCUUUGUUCCUGCUCAGUAGCCGGCAGGACGUGGCCCAGUCACGGUCUCCACGGCCCACGUUUGAAUCUCAGCCCUGUCACUGCCUGGCACGGUGGCUUUGGCCAAGCACUUCAUCUCCUGUUAUCCUCAGUUUCCUCAUCCAUGAAAUAGGGUGGGUCACAGCACCUGCCUGGUCCUAAAGAUGGGGGCUGCUGUGUGUGAGCGCUCCACCCUGGACCUGGCUCCCGGGGGGUCCUCGGAUAUGCUGCUGGUUAUAACAAGUUCUUACUCUGGGCUAGGUGUUGUAAUGCUUUAGCUCAGUGAAUCCUCAAACAAGCACAUUAUGACCCUUUUAUAGGUGGGGAAGCUCCCACUCCGAGAAGGGAAGUAAGUUGCCCAAGGCCACACAGCCAAUUAGCAGAACUGGGAUUAAAUCAGGCAGGCCUGUGCAGCUCUAAAGACCUCGCUGUAACCCUAGGUUCCUGGCCCUCCCUACUGAGGCCCUCUGAGGCUCUCUACCAAACCAGCAUCUGCAGUGACAGCAUCGUUAGCCCUGCCUGGAGCCGUUGGGUUAAUAGGUCCUUAAUAAAGCCAGCAGAGGCGUCUGCAGCUUCGCAGGGCAGGGGCCGAGGGGCCAGGUGCAGCAGAUGUGUCCUAAUGAAAAUAUCGGGGGGGGGGGAGGGGGAGGGGACCAUGGGGUGAGCCGCCUGCUCACGUCUCCAGCUUCCUGACCUCUGUGGCUGAGUCACUGGAGGCCUCCAGGUGCAGGGGACAAUCAAUUCCAUCACUCAUUCCAUCUAUGCUGGCUUGCUUCCUUUCAUCCAUUCACCCAUCAUCCAUCCAUCCAUCCUUCCAUUCCAUCCAUCCUCUCCCAGUGACUCAUCCUCCCUCCCUGGCUUCCAUGCAUCCAUCCAUCCAUGAAUCCACUCACCCAUUCCCUCCUUCCCUUCCUCCUUUCCUUCUCUCCUUCCUUCUGCCCAUCUGUCCACCCAGUGUUUACUGAGCACCCGUCUUGAGCCAAGCCUUAUGUGACGUGCCCAGGUUCCUCCCUCUGAGGGACUCACAUUCUCAAAAGGAUGCAAAACAACUAAGCCCAAGUGCACAGGGCACUAGGAGAGGAGAGGGCGUCUCGGGGGCUCUGACACUGGGCUCUGCACACCUUCCUCAGCCAAGCUCGCCAGGUGACCUUGGGCAGAUCACACUCCCUGGAGGCCACUCUCUUCUACCUGUUCAAAAAAGGGUGUCCUCGUCCAUUCGGCUGCUAUGACCUUAGACUGGGUUAUUUAUAAACAAGUUUAUAGUUCACAUUUCUGGAGGUUGAGAAGUCCAAGAUCAAGGUGCCUGCAGAUUUGGUGUCUGAUGAGGGCCCUUUCCUCACAGAUGGUGCCUUAUAGCCUUGUCCUCACAUGGUGGAAGGGGCGAGCAGGCUCCCCAGGCCUCUUGCCUAAAAGCAUAGAUACCAUUCAUGAGGAUGGAGCCCUCAUUACCUAAUCACCUCCCAGAAACCUCAUCUCUUAAUACACAUUGCAGAUAAUGGUGUUGUUUGUUUUUGUUUGUUUGUUUUUGAGACAGGGUCUCCCUCUGUCACCCAGGCUGGAAUGCAGUGGUGUGAUCUUGCCUCACUACAGCCUCCGCCUCCCGGGUUCAAGCAAUGCUCCCACCUCAGCCUCC
Molecule: long non-coding RNA, 3730 nt
Filed under: Homo sapiens (human)
Lineage: Eukaryota; Metazoa; Chordata; Mammalia; Primates; Hominidae
Description: HSALNT0155928
Source: RNAcentral